GACAGAGGUGCCGAGCGUUAGGCGGAAUCACUGGGCUUAAAGCGUGUGUAGGCGGGCGGGCAAGUACCUUGUGAAAUCCCACGGCUCAACCGUGGAACGGCUGGGUAUACUGCCUGUCUUGAGCCAACUAGGGGCGAGCGGAACAGACGGUGGAGCGGUGAAAUGCGUAGAUAUCGUCUGGAACGCCGAAGGUGAAAACAGCUCGCUGGGGUUGUGCUGACGCUGAGACACGAAAGCCAGGGGGAGCGAACGGG
Molecule: ribosomal RNA, 254 nt
Filed under: uncultured bacterium
Lineage: Bacteria
Description: partial 16S ribosomal RNA
Rfam family: Bacterial small subunit ribosomal RNA
Source: RNAcentral